GACGAACGCUGGCGGCGUGCCUAAUACAUGCCAGUAGAACGCUGAAGGAGGAGCUUGCUUCUCUGGAUGAGUUGCGAACGGGUGAGUAACGCGUAGGUAACCUGCCUGGUAGCGGGGGAUAACUAUUGGAAACGAUAGCUAAUACCGCAUAAGAGUAGAUGUUGCAUGACAUUUGCUUAAAAGGUGCAAUUGCAUCACUACCAGAUGGACCUGCGUUGUAUUAGCUAGUUGGUGGGGUAACAGCUCACCAAGGCGACGAUACAUAGCCGACCUGAGAGGGUGAUCGGCCACACUGGGACUGAGACACGGCCCAGACUCCUACGGGAGGCAGCAGUAGGGAAUCUUCGGCAAUGGACGGAAGUCUGACCGAGCAACGCCGCGUGAGUGAAGAAGGUUUUCGGAUCGUAAAGCUCUGUUGUAAGAGAAGAACGAGUGUGAGAGUGGAAAGUUCACACUGUGACGGUAUCUUACCAGAAAGGGACGGCUAACUACGUG
RNAcentral lists this ribosomal RNA (495 nucleotides) under uncultured bacterium. RNAcentral describes it as "partial 16S ribosomal RNA". It matches the Rfam family "Bacterial small subunit ribosomal RNA", at positions 28 to 507 of the family's 1533-position model. The record is from RNAcentral.